UGGUAUCGUGGAGUUCCCAGGAGGAACUGUC
This 31-nucleotide non-coding RNA is filed under the name Rattus norvegicus (Norway rat). The record is from RNAcentral. Lineage: Eukaryota; Metazoa; Chordata; Mammalia; Rodentia; Muridae.